AACGAACGCUGGCGGCAGGCUUAACACAUGCAAGUCGAACGGGCACCUUCGGUGUCAGUGGCAGACGGGUGAGUAACGCGUGGGAACGUACCCUUCGGUUCGGAAUAACCCAGGGAAACUUGGGCUAACACCGGAUACGUCCGCAAGGAGAAAGAUUUAUCGCCGAAGGAUCGGCCCGCGUCGGAUUAGCUAGUUGGUGGGGUAAUGGCCCACCAAGGCGACGAUCCGUAGCUGGUCUGAGAGGAUGANCAGCCACACUGGGACUGAGACACGGCCCAGACUCCUAC
Molecule: ribosomal RNA, 287 nt
Filed under: uncultured bacterium
Lineage: Bacteria
Description: partial 16S ribosomal RNA
Rfam family: Bacterial small subunit ribosomal RNA
Source: RNAcentral